Molecule: long non-coding RNA, 3117 nt
Organism: Oreochromis aureus
Lineage: Eukaryota; Metazoa; Chordata; Actinopteri; Cichliformes; Cichlidae
Source: Ensembl
CUAAUCUCUACUGCUCUAUCUAAUUUGACAGCCAUUCCAUCUUGUAUCCCUCUCUCUACUGCUCUAUCUAAUUUGAGAAUCUAAGUUUUCAGAAAUCCAAGUUUUCAGAAUCCAAGUUUUCAGAAAUCCAAGUUACCAGUACUUGAUCUAUCUGUUACAGAAUUCUGAGAGAUCUCUGCUCUCACUGCUCCUUCUUUCCUGUCAUUAAGCUCUCACAUUCAGUCAUUUUGCUGGAAAUUACAAGUUGAAUAUACAGUAGUAGAAUUACAGUACAGUAGAACUUAUAGUAGAAACUACUUACACAGCCCUACAUUUGUCAUUUUAAUUUUGCAUUAGACUUUAGUUUGGACUGCUAGUUUGGCUUACUUUGAUCAAUUGUAUAAAAUAUCACCUUUUUAUAAGUUUAUUUGUAAUAAGAUAAUCUGGUUAUUUUGUAAUACAUACAUUCAGAUAAAUAAUAAAUUAGAUCCAGUCUGUUAGUCUGUUUCAUUGGCUAUAACAUUUGACUGCAAGUUUAUAGUAUUAUUAUUUAAGGACAAACCCAUUUUGGCACUCAGUGUAAGUAUUCAGUUAGUAUUGUCAUCGAGAAGCACCUGAGGACCCAGACUUUCUGUUUUCUGACUGCUGCAGAAAAUCCAGCUGAAGAAUCCUCAUCGUCUGUCAUCUUAUCACCACACCACCAAAGCUCCAUAUAUUUGAUUUAAAUUUUAGAUAUCUGAAAGAUUUACAUAAACUCCCCUAAGAGCUAAGACUUUUAUUAUAGCCUGUUGAUUGUUGAGGUUUAUUCUGCAUAUCAUCUUACAGAAGUUGUACUUAUUUAUCAGUCUGGUUAAAAAAAUAUAAGUAAAAUUAUACAGUUUCUAAAAGAGCUACAAUAAAACGGACCAAAUUGUUUCCAGAGAACUUUGAAUUUCCUUUAUUUUGAGUUUGGAGUACAAAUCAGCUUAACGUCUAUUUAUAUAUUCAUAAAAACAUUUUAAAGUAGUAUAAUAGUACAUUUCUCAGAUUUAACAGUAACUUGAGGAGUUUUACGUUUUUCUGUGUUUCAAGGUUGAGUUUUGUUUACAUUUGUGUAUAACCACAUAUAAGCUCCAGGUUGUACUUCAGCAAAAUGCCAAGAAAAGGUCAAAGGUCGCAGUCCCAGAAGCUUAGACGUCAGAAGGAGAAAGAACAGGUGAAUGUUUCUCAGAGCAGUGAGCAGGUAAAGGUGUGUGUUUCAGCUUUUCCCAGCACGGAAGUGCAGAGCAUUGUUCAGACAGCCACAGUGUCUUAUGCAGAUGUGGUAAAGAGAGGUGUUCCCUCAGUGUCUGUCCCAGAGCCUGAAGUUAUGCAGCUAAUCCAGACUGAACCCCAGGUAACUGAACAAACACAGCAUGAUGGAGAGACAGCCACAGUGUCUUAUGCAGAUGUUGUAAAGAGAGGUGUUCCCUCAGUGUCUGUCCCAGAUCCUGAAGUUAUGCAGGUAAUCCAGACUGAACCCCAGCUAACUGUACAAACACAGCAUGAUGGACAAGCUCCAGUACAGUCUCAUGUACAGGUUACAAACAGUGAAAGUCGUCCACAAGAUGAAUUCAUUACCAAAGCAGAUCUUAACCGUGUGUUGGACAAAGGCCAUGCAGUGUACUCAGAUGCCAGAAAGAGGUUUGUGAACAGCGUGUUUCUAGCCUGUGAUGAGCUUCCCUCAGUGGUCACCAGCCGCAGACGUGAGUAUCAAGUUGACAUGUCUCAGUUUGCUCGUUACGGCACAUUUGAUGGUACAGGUCAUCUUCCGAGCCUUGAACAAGGACUACAGUGUUUGGCUUCAGAGUUUUGCUACGCUUUGCUAGUCAUGGGAGGAACAGUCAUCGCCGUUUGCAGGCUGACUUCAGGUGAAUAUGCAUAUUUUGACCCUCACCCACGUAAGUCUACUGGUAUGCCAUUGUCGCUAAGUGUAAGUGGUGGAACUGCAGUUAUGUUGAAGUUCACACGUCUUAAUGACAUGAUUGACAGGAUCAAACGUUUGUACCGAAUGUUUAGCAUCGCACCAACCUGCACUUAUGAGCUACAGCCCAUCGAGUUUCACAGUGAAAACGCUGCUGACCAAAGAGAUGCUAAUCAGACCACCGAAUACAGACAAACAGCUACAAGUGCACCAGCACCAGCUUUAAGUGAAUGUGUUCAUGAAUCAAACUCCGAAAUAUACACUGAGCAGACACGGAAACCUGUGACCAAAGAUUUAACCAGUGAAGUAAUGUCAUCCAGAGCUGAUUCUUCAAAUGAGACAGUUGCUCCCAGAAAAAAACAACCUUCUGAUUAUUUUGAAAAGAAAACCUCUGCAUCUUCUGUGAGAGAAACUCCAGUAACACCAGAUUCUGUUCCUCAGAAUGAUUCAAACACUGCCUCCAGUUCAACUAAGAUAACAGAGGAACUCUCAGAUAAACUGCUGAAACGUAAUAAACAGCAAAGGCAAAAAAUGAGGAGAUUAUUGACCCAACAAAAGCUACCACAACGAAAGGAAAAUCAGAAGACAAAAGAAAGGCAGAUGUACAGGUUUGAUGAAAGCUUCAAGACAAAGAAAAAAAACUCAAUUAAGAAGUCUAAUGAUCCUGAUCACAGACAGAAAAGGAGUCAGUACAAAAAUGAACUGUAUAAAUUAAAUGCUACCUAUAGGGAGAAACACAGAGAACAUUUGAGAAAGAUGUAUAGAGAAAGUGCUACAAUUAGAGAGAGAAAAAGAGAACGUGUCAUAAGGACAUAUAAAGACAAUCCCCUAUUCAGAGAAAACCAGAAGAAACGUAUAACAAGAACAUAUAGAGAGUCUUCCAUAUUCAGAGAUAAGCAGAAGGAACGUAUAACAAGAACAUAUAGAGAGUCUUCCAUAUUCAGAGAUAAGCAGAAGGAACGUAUAACAAGAACAUAUAGAGAGUCUUCCAUAUUCAGAGAUAAGCAGAAAGAACGUAUAAGAAGAAUAUACAGAACUUGUGCUGGAUUCAGAGAAAAACAUAAAGCUUACAUGAGGUCAUAUGUAUAUAACCUAUAUAAAGAAAGCGAAGAAUUUAAAAAGAAAAAACGAUCUUACAUGACUAAGCGUUAUGGAGAAGAGAAACAAUUUCAGCAACAACACAAGGACAAUAUGAG